This 253-nucleotide ribosomal RNA is filed under the name uncultured bacterium. RNAcentral's name for it is "partial 16S ribosomal RNA". It matches the Rfam family "Bacterial small subunit ribosomal RNA", at positions 524 to 776 of the family's 1533-position model. The record is from RNAcentral.
UACAGAGGGUGCAAGCGUUGUUCGGAAUUACUGGGCGUAAAGCGCGUGUAGGCGGCCCUGCAAGUCGGGUGUGAAAUCCCAUGGCUCAACCAUGGAAGUGCACUCGAAACUGCAGGGCUAGAGUCCUGGAGAGGAAGGUGGAAUGCUUGGUGUAGAGGUGAAAUUCGUAGAUAUCAAGCGGAACACCGGUGGCGAAGGCGGCCUUCUGGACAGUGACUGACGCUGAGACGCGAAAGCGUGGGGAGCAAACAGG